CACGUAGUUAGCCGGGGCUUCUUAGUCAGGUACCGUCUGCUGACCGUAAGGUCAGUAUUUCUUCCCUGCUGAUAGAGCUUUACAUACCGAAAUACUUCUUCACUCACGCGGCGUCGCUGCAUCAGGGUUUCCCCCAUUGUGCAAUAUUCCCCACUGCUGCCUCCCGUAGGAGUUUGGGCCGUGUCUCAGUCCCAAUGUGGCCGUUCACCCUCUCAGGCCGGCUACUGAUCGUCGCCUUGGUGGGCUGUUACCCCGCCAACCAGCUAAUCAGACGCGGAUCCAUCGUAUACCACCGGAGUUUUUCACACUGCUUCAUGCGAAGCUGUGCGCUUAUGCGGUAUUAGCACCUAUUUCUAAGUGUUAUCCCCCAGUAUACGGCAGGUUCUCCACGCGUUACUCACCCGUCCGCCACUAACUCAUACAUCACUAGGUUUCAAUAUGAGCCCGUUCGACUUGCAUGUGUUAAGCACGCCGCCAGCGUUCAUCCUGAGCCA
This 494-nucleotide ribosomal RNA is filed under the name uncultured Lachnospiraceae bacterium. RNAcentral's name for it is "partial 16S ribosomal RNA". Lineage: Bacteria; Bacillati; Bacillota; Clostridia; Lachnospirales; Lachnospiraceae. The record is from RNAcentral.